GACGAACGCUGGCGGCGUGCUUAACACAUGCGAGUCGAACGCUGAAGCUCAGCUUUUGUUGGGUGGAUGAGUGGCGAACGGGUGAGUAACACGUGAGUAACCUGCCUCCUUCUUUGGGAUAACGCCCGGAAACGGGUGCUAAUACUGGAUAUUCACUGGUCUUCGCAUGGGGGUUGGUGGAAAGGGUUUUUCUGGUGGGGGAUGGGCUCGCGGCCUAUCAGCUUGUUGGUGGGGUGAUGGCCUACCAAGGCUUUGACGGGUAGCCGGCCUGAGAGGGUGACCGGUCACAUUGGGACUGAGAUACGGCCCAGACUCCUACGGGGGGCAGCAGUGGGGAAUAUUGCACAAUGGGCGCAAGCCUGAUGCAGCGACGCCGCGUGAGGGAUGGAGGCCUUCGGGUUGUGAACCUCUUUCGCUCAUGGUCAAGCCGCAACAAUGGUUGUGGUGAGGGUAGUGGGUAAAGAAGCGCCGGCUAACUACGUG
Molecule: ribosomal RNA, 483 nt
Filed under: uncultured bacterium
Lineage: Bacteria
Description: partial 16S ribosomal RNA
Rfam family: Bacterial small subunit ribosomal RNA
Source: RNAcentral